GAUUAAAUGGCUGAAGUUUAGGCAAUAGAUUGUAAAUUUAUUUAUGGAAAUAAUUUCCUUUAAUCA
RNAcentral lists this transfer RNA (66 nucleotides) under Cylindrotoma sp. ZK-2016. RNAcentral's name for it is "tRNA-Tyr". It matches the Rfam family "tRNA". Rfam says of the family: Transfer RNA (tRNA) molecules are approximately 80 nucleotides in length. Lineage: Eukaryota; Metazoa; Arthropoda; Insecta; Diptera; Cylindrotomidae. The record is from RNAcentral.